RNAcentral lists this microRNA precursor (127 nucleotides) under Myotis davidii. RNAcentral describes it as "mir-9193 microRNA precursor family". It matches the Rfam family "mir-9193 microRNA precursor family". The record is from Rfam by way of RNAcentral. Lineage: Eukaryota; Metazoa; Chordata; Mammalia; Chiroptera; Vespertilionidae.
CGUGCACCGGUGGGGUCCCUCGGCCUGGCCUGUGCCCCCUUGCAAUCUGGGACCCCUCAGGGAAUGUCGGAGAGUUGGUUUCAGCCUGAGCCCUGCAGGCCAAGCCGAGGGACCCCACCGGUGCAUU